This 247-nucleotide ribosomal RNA is filed under the name Cronobacter sakazakii 696. Its description in RNAcentral is "Large Subunit Ribosomal RNA; lsuRNA; LSU rRNA". It matches the Rfam family "Bacterial large subunit ribosomal RNA", at positions 698 to 943 of the family's 2925-position model. Lineage: Bacteria; Pseudomonadati; Pseudomonadota; Gammaproteobacteria; Enterobacterales; Enterobacteriaceae. The record is from RNAcentral.
AGUUGCAGGGUAUAGACCCGAAACCCGGUGAUCUAGCCAUGGGCAGGUUGAAGGUUGGGUAACACUAACUGGAGGACCGAACCGACUAAUGUUGAAAAAUUAGCGGAUGACCUGUGGCUGGGGGUGAAAGGCCAAUCAAACCGGGAGAUAGCUGGUUCUCCCCGAAAGCUAUUUAGGUAGCGCCUCGUGAACUCAUCUCCGGGGGUAGAGCACUGUUUCGGCUAGGGGGCCAUCCCGGCUUACCAAC